GAUGAACGCUAGCGGGAGGCCUAACACAUGCAAGCCGAGCGGUAUUGUUUCUUCGGAAAUGAGAGAGCGGCGUACGGGUGCGUAACACGUGUGCAACCUGCCUUUAUCUGGGGGAUAGCCUUUCGAAAGGAAGAUUAAUACUCCAUAAUAUAUUGAACGGCAUCGUUUAAUAUUGAAAGCUCCGGCGGAUAGAGAUGGGCACGCGCAAGAUUAGCUAGUUGGUGAGGUAACGGCUCACCAAGGCGAUGAUCUUUAGGGGGCCUGAGAGGGUGAUCCCCCACACUGGUACUGAGACACGGACCAGACUCCUACGGGAGGCAGCAGUGAGGAAUAUUGGUCAAUGGGUGCAAGCCUGAACCAGCCAUCCCGUGUGAAGGACGACUGCCCUAUGGGUUGUAAACUUCUUUUGGAUAGGGAUAAACCUACCCUCGAGAGGGUAGCUGAAGGUACUAGACGAAUAAGCACCGGCUAACUCCGUG
This 479-nucleotide ribosomal RNA is filed under the name uncultured bacterium. RNAcentral describes it as "partial 16S ribosomal RNA". It matches the Rfam family "Bacterial small subunit ribosomal RNA", at positions 28 to 507 of the family's 1533-position model. The record is from RNAcentral.